Herpailurus yagouaroundi (jaguarundi) is the source of this 993-nucleotide long non-coding RNA. RefSeq lists it as uncharacterized. The record is from RefSeq and is a predicted model, not a curated record. The transcript has 2 exons. Lineage: Eukaryota; Metazoa; Chordata; Mammalia; Carnivora; Felidae.
AUUGCAUCAUACAUAUAUGUCAACACAAAAAAAACUCAAAAUGGAUUAAAGAUUAAGCAGAACAGCUGACCCAAAAUGGCUUCGAAGAAAACACACAGGAUAAACAUCAUGACAUUCUCUUGACAAUGAUUUAUUUGAUACCAAAGCAAAAUCACAGAGAACCUUGGCAGACAAGAGGGACUGCAUCAAACUAGAAAGGGGGCAAAUCAAACAGUAGCAGGGUGAGAAGGCAGUCUAUGAAAUGGGAGAUAUUACAUUAAAAAUAUUGAAAAGGAGUUAAUAUCCAAAAUACAGGAGGGACUCCUUAACAUCAAGAGCAAAAAUCACAAUUAUAAUCAUAACAGUAAGCACAUCACCUGAUUAAAAUUUGGGUCAAGCAUGUAAAUAUCCAUUUCGCUAUUAAGGUUGAAAAAAUGUCCAUCCAGCAUAUGAAUGGUGUUCAUCAUCACUAAUCAUCAGAGUAUUCCACCCCCGAUCCACUGAGAUAUCACCUCACAACUGAUAGCAAGGCUAUUAUAAAAUAAGGCAAACACAACGAGAACAUCUCAAGUGUUGCUGAGGAUGUGGAGAACAGGCAAUCCUACAAUUCACUUGAUGGGAGUGCAACAUAGUGUAGCUACUAUGGAAAACUGUGGUGAAAUAACCCACUAAACUGAGUUCCUAAUCUGCUCCCAUACAGUUGACUUCAUGUCCAGCUGAGUGUGAGGAAGGUCUGGGCCUCAUGUUCUGUGGAGAGGAGGUGCAGAGACAGGUGGAUCCAGUGGAUGAUUCCUUAACUCCUUCAGUAGAAUGGACCCCUGGCUGACCGUUUUGAACGUGUAUAUACUGAGAAUCCUUGAGAGAAAGUCGCGGAGUUGAUGAAGAUGCUGUAGGGUUUCGACAACCACAAGGGUCUUUCCUCAUGGUCUCUCUUCAUGGGCAUCAAAGGAAAACCUUAAGGAAAGUAAAAGGAGAGAGGAGCUGCUCAAAUGUAUUAAAUUUAGAUCACUUGAA